AGUGAACGCUGGCGGUAGGCCUAACACAUGCAAGUCGAACGGCAGCACAGUAAUAGCUUGCUCUUACGGGUGGCGAGUGGCGGACGGGUGAGGAAUACAUCGGAAUCUACUUUUUCGUGGGGGAUAACGUAGGGAAACUUACGCUAAUACCGCAUACGACCUACGGGUGAAAGCAGGGGAUCUUCGGACCUUGCGCGAUUGAAUGAGCCGAUGUCGGAUUAGCUAGUUGGCGGGGUAAAGGCCCACCAAGGCGACGAUCCGUAGCUGGUCUGAGAGGAGGAGCAGCAACACGGGAACGGAGAGACGGUCCAGACUCCUAAGGGAGGCAGCAGUGGGGAAUGUUGGACAAGGGGGGCAAGUCUGAUACAGCGAUAACGCGUGAGUGAAGAAGGCCUUGGGGUUGUAAAGCCCCUUUGUGGGGAAAGAAAAGCAGCAGGUUAAUAACCCGCUGUUCUGACGGUACCCAAAGAAUAAGCACCGGCUAACUUCGUG
Molecule: ribosomal RNA, 492 nt
Filed under: uncultured bacterium
Lineage: Bacteria
Description: partial 16S ribosomal RNA
Rfam family: Bacterial small subunit ribosomal RNA
Source: RNAcentral